This is a small nuclear RNA of Schistocerca serialis cubense, 104 nucleotides long. The record is from RefSeq and is a predicted model, not a curated record. NCBI's taxonomy places the organism in Eukaryota, Metazoa, Arthropoda, Insecta, Orthoptera, Acrididae.
UUGCUUUGCCAGCAUAUCUACUAAAAUUGGAACGCCACAGAAAAGAUCAGCGUGACCCCUGCGCAGGAAUGACACGCAAAAAAAGAAAAAAAAAGCAUAGACUG